AUGGCGUAGGUGAAAUAUUUCCGAUAAUAUUUGGUCUAAUAUCACCAGCGAAGAUUUUUAACAUUGGUACCAACAUUUUGGCCGCGAUUUAUUAAAAAAGCGUUGCUGACUGCGAGCCGCGGUUAUAAUAAUAUUGUGAAGUUUUAUAAUAAAAUUAUGAAUAUAAUAGUAAUAAUAUAUCUAAUAUUAGGC
Molecule: ribosomal RNA, 192 nt
Filed under: uncultured eukaryote
Lineage: Eukaryota
Description: partial Trypanosomatid mitochondrial large subunit ribosomal RNA
Source: RNAcentral